UACGUAGGGGGCAAGCGUUGUCCGGAAUCAUUGGGCGUAAAGCGCGUGUAGGCGGUCCGGUAAGUCCGCUGUGAAAGUCGGGGGCUCAACCCUCGGAUGCCGGUGGAUACUGUCGGGCUUGAGUACGGAAGAGGCGAGUGGAAUUCCUGGUGUAGCGGUGAAAUGCGCAGAUAUCAGGAGGAACACCAAUUGCGAAGGCAGCUCGCUGGGACGUUACUGACGCUGAGGAGCGAAAGCGUGGGGAGCGAACAGG
This 253-nucleotide ribosomal RNA is filed under the name uncultured bacterium. Its description in RNAcentral is "partial 16S ribosomal RNA". It matches the Rfam family "Bacterial small subunit ribosomal RNA", at positions 524 to 776 of the family's 1533-position model. The record is from RNAcentral.